RNAcentral lists this ribosomal RNA (455 nucleotides) under uncultured organism. RNAcentral describes it as "partial 16S ribosomal RNA". It matches the Rfam family "Bacterial small subunit ribosomal RNA", at positions 330 to 801 of the family's 1533-position model. The record is from RNAcentral.
CGUACACUCCUGCGGGAGGCAGCAGUGGGGAAUAUUGGACAAUGGGCGCAAGCCUGAUCCAGCCAUGCCGCGUGAGUGAUGAAGGCCCUAGGGUUGUAAAGCUCUUUUGUGCGGGAAGAUAAUGACGGUACCGCAAGAAUAAGCCCCGGCUAACUUCGUGCCAGCAGCCGCGGUAAUACGAAGGGGGCUAGCGUUGCUCGGAAUCACUGGGCGUAAAGGGUGCGUAGGCGGGUCUUUAAGUCAGGGGUGAAAUCCUGGAGCUCAACUCCAGAACUGCCUUUGAUACUGAAGAUCUUGAGUUCGGGAGAGGUGAGUGGAACUGCGAGUGUAGAGGUGAAAUUCGUAGAUAUUCGCAAGAACACCAGUGGCGAAGGCGGCUCACUGGCCCGAUACUGACGCUGAGGCACGAAAGCGUGGGGAGCAAACAGGAUUAGAUACCCGGGUAGUCCCAUGAU